GCCCCUGUGGCGGAAUGGUAGACGCGGCAGACUCAAAAUCUGUUGAUCGCAAGGUCGUGGGGGUUCAAGUCCCUCCAGGGGCACCA
RNAcentral lists this transfer RNA (86 nucleotides) under Alphaproteobacteria bacterium. Its description in RNAcentral is "tRNA-Leu". It matches the Rfam family "tRNA". Rfam says of the family: Transfer RNA (tRNA) molecules are approximately 80 nucleotides in length. Their secondary structure includes four short double-helical elements and three loops (D, anti-codon, and T loops). Further hydrogen bonds mediate the characteristic L-shaped molecular structure. tRNAs have two regions of fundamental functional importance: the anti-codon, which is responsible for specific mRNA codon recognition, and the 3' end, to which the tRNAs corresponding amino acid is attached (by aminoacyl-tRNA synthetases). tRNAs cope with the degeneracy of the genetic code in two manners: having more than one tRNA (with a specific anti-codon) for a particular amino acid; and 'wobble' base-pairing, i.e. permitting non-standard base-pairing at the 3rd anti-codon position. Lineage: Bacteria; Pseudomonadati; Pseudomonadota; Alphaproteobacteria. The record is from RNAcentral.